RNAcentral lists this ribosomal RNA (484 nucleotides) under uncultured bacterium. RNAcentral describes it as "partial 16S ribosomal RNA". It matches the Rfam family "Bacterial small subunit ribosomal RNA", at positions 30 to 507 of the family's 1533-position model. The record is from RNAcentral.
AUUGAACGCUGGCGGCAGGCCUAACACAUGCAAGUCGAGCGGAUGAAGGGAGCUUGCUCCUGGAUUCAGCGGCGGACGGGUGAGUAAUGCCUAGGAAUCUGCCUUGUAUUGGGGGAUAACGUCCGGAAACGGGCGCUAAUACCGCAUACGUCCUGAGGGAGAAAGUGGGGGUUCUUCGGACAUCACGCUAUCAGAUGAGCCUAGGUCGGAUUAGCUAGUUGGUGGGGUAACGGCCUACCAAGGCGACUAUCCGUAACUGGUCUGAGAGGGUGAUCAGUCACACUGGAACUGAGACACGGUCCAGACUCCUACGGGAGGCAGCAGUGGGGAAUAUUGGACAAUGGGCGAAAGCCUGAUCCAGCCAUGCCGCGUGUGUGAAGAAGGUCUUCGGAUUGUAAAGCACUUUAAGUUGGGAGGAAGGUCAGUAAGUUUAUCCCUUGCUGUUUUGACGUUACCAACAGAAUAAGCACCGGCUAACUUCGUG